ACUGGGUGCGCUGGCGCACGCCUGUAAUCCCAGUGGCUUGGGAGGCUGAGGUAGGAGGAACUCAAGUUCAAAGCCAGCCUCAGCAGGUGCUAAGCAACUCAGUGAGACCCUGUCUCUA
RNAcentral lists this small RNA (118 nucleotides) under Marmota monax (woodchuck). The record is from RNAcentral. Lineage: Eukaryota; Metazoa; Chordata; Mammalia; Rodentia; Sciuridae.